Molecule: ribosomal RNA, 467 nt
Filed under: uncultured bacterium
Lineage: Bacteria
Description: partial 16S ribosomal RNA
Rfam family: Bacterial small subunit ribosomal RNA
Source: RNAcentral
GACGAACGCUGGCGGCGUGCUUAACACAUGCAAGUCGAACGGAAAGGCCCUGCUUUUGUGGGGUGCUCGAGUGGCGAACGGGUGAGUAACACGUGAGUAACCUGCCCUUGACUUUGGGAUAACUUCAGGAAACUGGGGCUAAUACCGGAUAGGAGCUCCUGCUGCAUGGUGGGGGUUGGAAAGUUCCGGCGGUUGGGGAUGGACUCGCGGCUUAUCAGCUUGUUGGUGGGGUAGUGGCUUACCAAGGCUUUGACGGGUAGCCGGCCUGAGAGGGUGACCGGCCCCAUUGGGCCUGGGGUACGGCCCAGACUCAUACGGGAGGCAGGGGUGGGGACUAUUGCACAAUGGGCGGAAGCCUGAUGCAGCAACGCCGCGUGCGGGAUGACGGCCUUCGGGUUGUAAACCGCUUUCGCCUGUGACGAAGCGUGAGUGACGGUAAUGGGUAAAGAAGCACCGGCUAACUACGU